Cannabis sativa is the source of this 694-nucleotide long non-coding RNA. RefSeq lists it as uncharacterized. The transcript is spliced from 3 exons. Lineage: Eukaryota; Viridiplantae; Streptophyta; Magnoliopsida; Rosales; Cannabaceae. The record is from RefSeq and is a predicted model, not a curated record.
UCUUUCCCUUUUGCGUCUGUUAUGAACACUCGAAUACUGUGUUUGUUUGUGAGGUUUAAAACUGACUAUAACUUAUACAUUUGAGAGUGAGUAAAUGACACUAAACUCUAUGAAAUCCUUAAACCUCCGCUUUGCAAUCAGAUUUCACUCACCCCCUUUUGCGAAAGAGCUCUGACGAUCGAAAUGGUGACCCCCUCUUCGAGUUCUUCUCCUUCUCAAACUGAUCGUGACUUCGUCCUCUUCAACCAAAUCUAGGAGUGAUGGGUGGUCUUAGAGUUAAAAGGAAAGACGACCUCCAACAGAUUGAAUUAGAAGGAAAAAUAACCUCCAUCUAAAGAAGCCACUAACUCCGACCCUGAAGACCUCGAAUACAUGGGCCAAAUCAAAAAGGUGGGGUUUGAGAUGGUUGACACUUUUGCUCAAUCGCAAAGCAUUGAAAUGAAGACAGUUCAUUGUAAAGCUAUUUUUGGACAGAUGUUUGAUGAAGACCGAAGAACAUAGGACUGGAUGCUGAAAUUAGUAAAUUGAGAUAUUGUUAGCAGAGUAAAAGAAAAUACUUUAAAGGGGAAUGUGAUAAAACAGAAGAUUUUGUUUGCUUUUCAGGUAAGCUUUUGUUUAAGCAUGCAGCUGAGAAGCUUGUAUUUUGACUUUUUUUUUUGUCUUGAGUUGCAUAAAGGUCAAUUGAUGAUUAAUU